GCAUAUCAAUAAGCGGAGGAAAAGAAANUNACAAUGAUUCCCCCAGUAACGGCGAGUGAACAGGGAAAAGCUCAAAGUUGGAACCUCCUGGCCCUAGGCUAGGCGGAUUGUAAACUAAAGCUUUCGAGUAGUUUGGCUGGCCCGGUAAUCAAGUUCUCUGGAAAGAGGCGACAAAGAGGGUGAAAUCCCCGUUUUUGGCCGGAGCAUUAGUCUUGCGUUUGCUUGAAGGUGAAGAGUCAGGUUGUUUGGUAUUGCAGCCUAAAGUGGGAGGUAAAUCUCUCCUAAAGCUAAAUAUUGACGAAAGACCGAUAGCGAACAAGUACCGUGAGGGAAAGAUGAAAAGCACCUUGAAAAGGGGGUCAAAAAGUACGUGAAAUUGCUGAAAGGGAACCGUAUGAAAUCAGUCUGGCCGCUUGAUAAUCAGCCUAAACUUUGGUUUGGGUGCACUUGUCAUUUGGUACAGCCUACGACAAUUUGAUUUGGGGGAAAAAAUCAAGGAGAAUGUGGCCUAGGCUUCGGCAGAGGUGUUAUAGCUCUUUGAAAAAUACUCUGGAUUGGAUUGAGGACUGCAGCAAGCCUUUGGGAUGAACUGUGGGCGCUUGGCGUUUGUUGGGGGGAAAUUUCUAUUCAGGUAGUGUUCCUUCAAUGAGUGUCAACUCGCCUACUUUUUCUUUUUCUUGCUUAGGUCGUAGGCAUAAUGAUUUUAUACGACCCGUCUUGAAACACGGACC
Molecule: ribosomal RNA, 731 nt
Filed under: Absidia caatinguensis
Lineage: Eukaryota; Fungi; Mucoromycota; Mucoromycetes; Mucorales; Cunninghamellaceae
Description: LSU rRNA
Rfam family: Eukaryotic large subunit ribosomal RNA
Source: RNAcentral